Molecule: long non-coding RNA, 241 nt
Filed under: Homo sapiens (human)
Lineage: Eukaryota; Metazoa; Chordata; Mammalia; Primates; Hominidae
Description: non-protein coding lnc-BRF1-27:1
Source: RNAcentral
GAAGUCCUGUGUGAAGUUCACCGGGGGAGACAGAGGAAAUAACGGUGCAGCCGGGGGCUAUCUGAGUCUCUCCUGCAAAGACUCUGGAUUCACCUUCACUGAUUGCAGCAUAAGCUUGGUCCAGCAAGCUCCAGGACCAGGGUUGAUGUGGGCAGCAACAGGGAGAAAUUGAAGAGGAAGCUCUCAGUGGUGCCCUCCAUGAAUACAAAGAAUCUUCACAGUCCCCAGGACACCCUUACGU